RNAcentral lists this ribosomal RNA (331 nucleotides) under uncultured Acidovorax sp. RNAcentral describes it as "bacterial SSU rRNA". It matches the Rfam family "Bacterial small subunit ribosomal RNA", at positions 1049 to 1382 of the family's 1533-position model. Lineage: Bacteria; Pseudomonadati; Pseudomonadota; Betaproteobacteria; Burkholderiales; Comamonadaceae. The record is from RNAcentral.
UUGUCGUCAGCUCGUGUCGUGAGAUGUUGGGUUAAGUCCGCAACGAGCGCAACCCUUGUCAUUAGUUGCUACAUUCAGUUGGGCACUCUAAUGAGACUGCCGGUGACAAACCGGAGGAAGGUGGGGAUGACGUCAAGUCCUCAUGGCCCUUAUAGGUGGGGCUACACACGUCAUACAAUGGAUGGUACAAAGGGUCGCCAACCCGCGAGGGGGAGCCAAUCCCAUAAAGCCAUUCGUAGUCCGGAUCGCAGUCUGCAACUCGACUGCGUGAAGUCGGAAUCGCUAGUAAUCGUGGAUCAGCACGUCGCGGUGAAUACGUUCCCGGGUCCUU